Molecule: ribosomal RNA, 926 nt
Filed under: uncultured Bacteroidota bacterium
Lineage: Bacteria; Pseudomonadati; Bacteroidota
Description: bacterial SSU rRNA
Rfam family: Bacterial small subunit ribosomal RNA
Source: RNAcentral
UGGAUCCAGACUUUGAUUAUGGCUCAGGAUGAACGCUAGCUACAGGCUUAACACAUGCAAGUCGAGGGGAAACGACAUCGAAAGCUUGCUUUUGAUGGGCGUCGACCGGCGCACGGGUGAGUAACGCGUAUCCAACCUGCCCACCACUUGGGGAUAACCUUGCGAAAGUAAGACUAAUACCCAAUGACGUCUCUAGAAGACAUCUGAAGGAGAUUAAAGAUUUAUCGGUGAUGGAUGGGGAUGCGUCUGAUUAGCUUGUUGGCGGGGUAACGGCCCACCAAGGCUACGAUCAGUAGGGGUUCUGAGAGGAAGGUCCCCCACAUUGGAACUGAGACACGGUCCAAACUCCUACGGGAGGCAGCAGUGAGGAAUAUUGGUCAAUGGACGAGAGUCUGAACCAGCCAAGUAGCGUGCAGGAUGACGGCCCUAUGGGUUGUAAACUGCUUUUAUAAGGGAAUAAAGUGAGCCUCGUGAGGCUUUUUGCAUGUACCUUAUGAAUAAGGACCGGCUAAUUCCGUGCCAGCAGCCGCGGUAAUACGGAAGGUCCGGGCGUUAUCCGGAUUUAUUGGGUUUAAAGGGAGCGUAGGCCGGAGAUUAAGCGUGUUGUGAAAUGUAGACGCUCAACGUCUGCACUGCAGCGCGAACUGGUUUCCUUGAGUACGCACAAAGUGGGCGGAAUUCGUGGUGUAGCGGUGAAAUGCUUAGAUAUCACGAAGAACUCCGAUUGCGAAGGCAGCUCACUGGAGCGCAACUGACGCUGAAGCUCGAAAGUGCGGGUAUCGAACAGGAUUAGAUACCCUGGUAGUCCGCACGGUAAACGAUGGAUGCCCGCUGUUGGUCUGAAUAGGUCAGCGGCCAAGCGAAAGCAUUAAGCAUCCCACCUGGGGAGUACGCCGGCAACGGUGCAACUCAAAUGAAUUGACGGA